ACGCACGCUUGCGGCGUGCUUAACCCAUGCAAGUCGAACGGAAAGGCCCUGCUUUUGUUGGGUGCUCGAGUGGCGAACGGGUGAGUAACACGUGAGUAACCUGCCCUUGACUUUGGGAUAACUUCAGGAAACUGGGGCUAAUACCGGAUAGGAGCUCCUGCUGCAUGGGGGGGGUUGGAAAGUUUCGGCGGUUGGGGAUGGACUCGCGGCUUAUCAGCUUGUUGGUGGGGUAGUGGCUUACCAAGGCUUUGACGGGUAGCCGGCCUGAGAGGGUGACCGGCCACAUUGGGACUGAGAUACGGCCCAGACUCCUACGGGAGGCAGCAGUGGGGAAUAUUGCACAAUGGGCGGAAGCCUGAUGCAGCAACGCCGCGUGCGGGAUGACGGCCUUCGGGUUGUAAACCGCUUUCGCCUGUGACGAAGCGUGAGUGACGGUAAUGGGUAAAGAAGCACCGGCUAACUACGUG
RNAcentral lists this ribosomal RNA (467 nucleotides) under uncultured bacterium. RNAcentral describes it as "partial 16S ribosomal RNA". It matches the Rfam family "Bacterial small subunit ribosomal RNA", at positions 29 to 507 of the family's 1533-position model. The record is from RNAcentral.